CCUACGGGUGGCAGCAGUCGAGAAUCAUUCACAAUGGGGGAAACCCUGAUGGUGCGACGCCGCGUGGGGGAAUGAAGGUCUUCGGAUUGUAAACCCCUGUCAUGUGGGAGCAAAUUAAAAAGAUAGUACCACAAGAGGAAGAGACGGCUAACUCUGUGCCAGCAGCCACGGUAAUACAGAGGUCUCAAGCGUUGUUCGGAAUCACUGGGCGUAAAGCGUGCGUAGGCUGUUUCGUAAGUCGUGUGUGAACGGCGCGGGCGCAACCCGCGGACGGCACAUGAUACUGCGAGACUAGAGUAAUGGAGGGGGAACCGGAAUGCUCGGUGUAGCAGGGAAAUGCGUAGAUAGCGAGAGGAACACUCGUGGCGAAGGCGGGUGCCUGGACAUUAACUGACGCUGAGGCACGAAGGCCAGGGGAGCGAAAGGGAUUAGAUACCCGAGUAGUC
This 446-nucleotide ribosomal RNA is filed under the name uncultured bacterium. RNAcentral describes it as "partial 16S ribosomal RNA". It matches the Rfam family "Bacterial small subunit ribosomal RNA", at positions 338 to 795 of the family's 1533-position model. The record is from RNAcentral.